RNAcentral lists this RNase P RNA (367 nucleotides) under Marinilactibacillus piezotolerans. RNAcentral's name for it is "Bacterial RNase P class B". It matches the Rfam family "Bacterial RNase P class B". From Rfam's summary of the family: Ribonuclease P (RNase P) is a ubiquitous endoribonuclease, found in archaea, bacteria and eukarya as well as chloroplasts and mitochondria. Its best characterised activity is the generation of mature 5'-ends of tRNAs by cleaving the 5'-leader elements of precursor-tRNAs. RNAcentral also lists the same sequence under 1 other name. The record is from RNAcentral. Lineage: Bacteria; Bacillati; Bacillota; Bacilli; Lactobacillales; Carnobacteriaceae.
AAUUACGGAUAAUCGCGCAUUGUUUUCAAUGUGAGGAAAGUCCAUGCUCACACAAACUGAGAUGUUUGUAGUGUUCGUGCGCAGCGAAAAAAUAAGCUGCGGCUCCAUUAAUGGAUGACGGCAGAAAAAAAGGCUAAGGCUUAGCUAUGCCUGAGUAUUCUUGAAAGUGCCACAGUGACGAAGCAGCAGGGGAAACGCUGCUGGUGGAACGCGGUAAACCCCUCGAGUGAGCAACCCAAACAUAUGGUAGGGGCACUUUUCUCCUGGAAAUGAACAGAGAGAAGAGGCAAUUUCGAUUGCAGACAGAUGAUUAUCUCGGAGAAAACAUUCCUGAUCGUUUUCUCUAGACAGAACAUGGCUUAUAGUA